Molecule: ribosomal RNA, 243 nt
Filed under: uncultured bacterium
Lineage: Bacteria
Description: partial 16S ribosomal RNA
Rfam family: Bacterial small subunit ribosomal RNA
Source: RNAcentral
GCAAGUCGAGCGAGAAAGCACUUCGGUGCGAGUACAGCGGCGGACGGGUGAGUAACGCGUAGGAAUCUACCUGGUAGUGGGGGACAACUUGUGGAAACGCAAGCUAAUACCGCAUACGCCCUAAGGGGGAAAGCGGGGGAUCUUCGGACCUCGUGCUAUUUGAUGAGCCCGUGUAAGAUUAGCUUGUUGGUGGGGUAAUGGCCCACCAAGGCGACGAUCUUUAGCUGGUCUGAGAGGAUGAUC